AGUGAACGCUGGCGGUAGGCCUAACACAUGCAAGUCGAACGGCAGCACAGUAAGAGCUUGCUCUUACGGGUGGCGAGUGGCGGACGGGUGAGGAAUACAUCGGAAUCUACUUUUUCGUGGGGGAUAACGUAGGGAAACUUACGCUAAUACCGCAUACGACCUACGGGUGAAAGCAGGGGAUCUUCGGACCUUGCGCGAUUGAAUGAGCCGAUGUCGGAUUAGCUAGUUGGCGGGGUAAAGGCCCACCAAGGCGACGAUCCGUAGCUGGUCUGAGAGGAUGAUAAGCCACACUGGAACUGAGACACGGUCCAGACUCCUACGGGAGGCAGCAGUGGGGAAUAUUGGACAAUGGGCGCAAGCCUGAUCCAGCCAUACCGCGUGGGUGAAGAAGGCCUUCGGGUUGUAAAGCCCUUUUGUUGGGAAAGAAAAGCAGCAGGUUAAUACCCCGCUGUUCUGACGGUACCCAAAGAAUAAGCACCGGAUAACUUCGUG
RNAcentral lists this ribosomal RNA (492 nucleotides) under uncultured bacterium. RNAcentral describes it as "partial 16S ribosomal RNA". It matches the Rfam family "Bacterial small subunit ribosomal RNA", at positions 29 to 507 of the family's 1533-position model. The record is from RNAcentral.